This 274-nucleotide ribosomal RNA is filed under the name uncultured bacterium. RNAcentral's name for it is "partial 16S ribosomal RNA". It matches the Rfam family "Bacterial small subunit ribosomal RNA", at positions 523 to 796 of the family's 1533-position model. The record is from RNAcentral.
AUACGGAGGGUGCGAGCGUUGUUCGGAAUUAUUGGGCGUAAAGAGCAUGUAGGCGGUCUGUUAAGUCUGGUGUGAAAGCCCGGGGCUCAACCCCGGAAGUGCAUUGGAUACUGGCAGACUUGAGUAUGGGAGAGGAAAGCGGAAUUCCGAGUGUAGGAGUGAAGUCCGUAGAUAUUCGGAGGAACACCAGUGGCGAAGGCGGCUUUCUGGACCAAUACUGACGCUGAGAUGCGAAAGCGUGGGGAGCGAACAGGAUUAGAAACCCUAGUAGUCC